GGAGGGGUGGCAGAGUGGUUAUUGCAAUAGAUUGCUAAUCUAUGAACCGAUAUUUUGGUUCCCCGGGUUCAAAUCCCGGUCCCUCCGCCA
Molecule: transfer RNA, 90 nt
Filed under: Alphaproteobacteria bacterium
Lineage: Bacteria; Pseudomonadati; Pseudomonadota; Alphaproteobacteria
Description: tRNA-Ser
Rfam family: tRNA
About the family: Transfer RNA (tRNA) molecules are approximately 80 nucleotides in length. Their secondary structure includes four short double-helical elements and three loops (D, anti-codon, and T loops). Further hydrogen bonds mediate the characteristic L-shaped molecular structure. tRNAs have two regions of fundamental functional importance: the anti-codon, which is responsible for specific mRNA codon recognition, and the 3' end, to which the tRNAs corresponding amino acid is attached (by aminoacyl-tRNA synthetases). tRNAs cope with the degeneracy of the genetic code in two manners: having more than one tRNA (with a specific anti-codon) for a particular amino acid; and 'wobble' base-pairing, i.e. permitting non-standard base-pairing at the 3rd anti-codon position.
Source: RNAcentral